RNAcentral lists this long non-coding RNA (306 nucleotides) under Olea europaea (common olive). RNAcentral's name for it is "long non-coding RNA (OEUR_LNC011932)". The record is from RNAcentral. Lineage: Eukaryota; Viridiplantae; Streptophyta; Magnoliopsida; Lamiales; Oleaceae.
UAAUGUCCUAUACUCCUCUGCCUCCCAUCUUCCAUUGCCACCGCUCCUCGCACAAGAUGACGAAAUGGAGUCAAAUGCAGUAGAACAAAUAUUGCCUCCAAAUGGGUCAAUGGUAAACCCAAGAAACCAAUAAUAUAUUUUCACUCGGAUUCUUCUCUCUUUUUUAUUCUAUACUACAGUAUUUGGUUUAGUGGUUUAGAUCUGUUUGAUUUAGGAGCUUUUGCAAUCAGAGGAGGAGGAUUUUGCAUCAUUAGUGGCCAAUGUGCUAUGUGAUUCUUCGUGGUCCUGGAUACAAACGGAAAAACU